RNAcentral lists this ribosomal RNA (252 nucleotides) under uncultured prokaryote. RNAcentral describes it as "partial 16S ribosomal RNA". It matches the Rfam family "Bacterial small subunit ribosomal RNA", at positions 524 to 775 of the family's 1533-position model. The record is from RNAcentral.
UACGAAGGGGGCUAGCGUUGCUCGGAAUCACUGGGCGUAAAGCGUGCGUAGGUGGUUUGUUAAGUCUGAUGUGAAAGCCCUGGGCUCAACCUGGGAAUGGCAUUGGAUACUGGCGAGCUAGAGUGCGGUAGAGGGCAGUGGAAUUCCCGGUGUAGCAGUGAAAUGCGUAGAGAUCGGGAGGAACAUCUGUGGCGAAGGCGACUGCCUGGACCAGCACUGACACUGAGGCACGAAAGCGUGGGGAGCAAACAG